This 212-nucleotide non-coding RNA is filed under the name Zea mays. RNAcentral's name for it is "Bacterial large subunit ribosomal RNA". It matches the Rfam family "Bacterial large subunit ribosomal RNA", at positions 2246 to 2466 of the family's 2925-position model. Lineage: Eukaryota; Viridiplantae; Streptophyta; Magnoliopsida; Poales; Poaceae. The record is from Rfam by way of RNAcentral.
AGCAUUCGAGAACAAGUGAUCAACAUGUAGGCCUCCCAAAAGGUAACGGAGGCGUGCAAAAGUUUCCUAGGGCCAGACAGACAUUGGUUCUCGAGUGCAAAUGUAGAAGGGAGCUUGACUGCAAGACUCACCCGUUGAGCAGAGACGAAAGUGGGCCUUAAUGAUUCGACGGUGCCGAGUGGAAGGGUCGUCGCUCAACGGAUAAAAGUUAC